AUUGCUUCUUGGCCUUUAGGCUAAGGUCAAGUGUAGCAUCUGUUCUUAUCAGUUUAAAGUAGGUGAAGAAUUAAAAUGGAGUGUAAGAAAAGGAGAUUGAGUUUGCAAUUCAGUAUUUCAUGGUCUCCAGACCUUUGUUCUUUUUUCCAAAAUGGCAGUGAAUUUAGUGGUUCAUUU
This is a small nuclear RNA of 177 nucleotides. Its record names the gene U2. It matches the Rfam family "U2 spliceosomal RNA". Rfam says of the family: U2 is a small nuclear RNA (snRNA) component of the spliceosome (involved in pre-mRNA splicing). Complementary binding between U2 snRNA (in an area lying towards the 5' end but 3' to hairpin I) and the branchpoint sequence (BPS) of the intron results the bulging out of an unpaired adenosine, on the BPS, which initiates a nucleophilic attack at the intronic 5' splice site, thus starting the first of two transesterification reactions that mediate splicing. The record is from Ensembl.